CUUGUAAUCACCUUUCGAAUGAGGUAUAAGGUUUAUCUAUAAUUAGGGUCUAAAGGGUCGCCGCACUCCAUUCCAUUAUUCAAAAUAUCCAUUUCAUUAUUCAAAAUUGGCUAUUUCUUAAUUUUCACGCGUAUUUCGGCAUUUAGGUCUUCAAAUAUUCGUUGCGGAGCAUGUUGACUAUAUACAUUUUGUUCGUCUUGUAAUCAGCUUUCGAAUGAGGUAUAAGAUUU
This 230-nucleotide long non-coding RNA is filed under the name Mytilus galloprovincialis (Mediterranean mussel). Lineage: Eukaryota; Metazoa; Mollusca; Bivalvia; Mytilida; Mytilidae. The record is from RNAcentral.